GGAGGUAGUUUUUAGUACGUAGAAGUCGUAUUUGCUGCUACUAAGAACCAGCAGUAUCUUUUGAAGAUUUUCUACCUCC
This is a non-coding RNA of Glossina pallidipes, 79 nucleotides long. Lineage: Eukaryota; Metazoa; Arthropoda; Insecta; Diptera; Glossinidae. The record is from Rfam.